CAUAGUGUUAAACAACUAUGUCCCAUUUUGGGAGCUGCUGCAGCCAUUUUUCUGCCACAAGCAAAUGCUAAACCUUCGAAGCAGCACCACACAGUUCCUGGGUUAUAAAGGCUUUGUUCCUCAGAUGCUCAGGUCCCCAGAAGGUCAGCUCUCUGGGGCAGGCCAAGCCUGUAGUGUUCACUGGCUUCUCCACAAGCUUAUGAAUAAAGCGGAAACUGUGAACUGUUCAAAAAAGAAAAUAGGUGAUUUGAGAAGUAGGGGAGCUACAACAAGUUAGUAAAGGAAAACAGUAAUAUUCGGGAACAUCUGCCUUCCAGCAGAAUAUUCUUUGUGUUUCUAAUAAAACCAGGAAGCCAAGUGGAUGGAAGAAUUGAUUUGAGAUGUGUGAUGCCGAUCCUUGUGUUAUGUUGGCACAAAUAUGGGCAAUUAGGACACACCUUCACACAACAGUGGGGCAAGAAAGUGAAAUAAGGAAUAGAGGGAUAUCUAGCGAUAAUAGGGUUGAUUAUGUGACAGCCACAUUUAUGGAGAAGCAAAGAGGAAGGAAUUUGGCAUCAAUUAACAGACUUCCUGAGUUCAAACCUGACUCCCUUACUUGCUUAACUUAUCUAAGCGUCAGUUUCCCCAUCUGUGAAAUGAAGAGAGUAAUAUCAUAGGGUCUUUUUGGAGGCACCAAUAAAAUAAAACCUGUAAG
RNAcentral lists this long non-coding RNA (694 nucleotides) under Equus asinus (donkey). RNAcentral describes it as "lncRNA (ENSEASG00005023532.1)". The record is from RNAcentral. Lineage: Eukaryota; Metazoa; Chordata; Mammalia; Perissodactyla; Equidae.